CCUACGGGAGGCAGCAGUGAGGAAUAUUGGUCAAUGGGCGCGAGCCUGAACCAGCCCAGUAGCGUGAAGGAUGACUGCCCUACGGAUUGUAAACUUCUUUUAUCAAGGAAUAAAGUGAGGCACGUGUGCCUGUUUGUGUGUACUUUAUGAAUAAGGAUCGGCUAACUCCGUGCCAGCAGCCGCGGUAAUACGGAGGAUCCGAGCGUUAUCCGGAUUUAUUGGGUUUAAAGGGUGGGUAGAUGGGUUGUUAAGUCAGUGGUGAAAGUUUGCGGCUCAACCGUAACAGUGCCAUUGAUACUGGCAGCCUUGAGUACAGUUGAGGUAGGCGGAAUUCGUGGUGUAGCGGUGAAAUGCUUAGAUAUCACGAAGAACUCCGAUUGCGAAGGCAGCUUACUAAACUGCCACUGACAUUGAUGCUCGAAAGUGUGGGUAUCAAACAGGAUUAGAUACCCGUGUAGUC
RNAcentral lists this ribosomal RNA (460 nucleotides) under uncultured bacterium. RNAcentral describes it as "partial 16S ribosomal RNA". It matches the Rfam family "Bacterial small subunit ribosomal RNA", at positions 338 to 795 of the family's 1533-position model. The record is from RNAcentral.